CCUACGGGUGGCAGCAGUGAGGAAUAUUGGUCAAUGGGCGCAAGCCUGAACCAGCCAAGUCGCGUGCAGGAUGACUGCCCUACGGGUUGUAAACUUCUUUUAUAAAAGGAUAAAGUUGAGCACGUGUGCCUUUUUGUAUGUACUUUAUGAAUAAGGAUCGGCUAACUCCGUGCCAGCAGCCGCGGUAAUACGGAGGAUCCGAGCGUUAUCCGGAUUUAUUGGGUUUAAAGGGAGCGUAGAUGGGUUGUUAAGUAAGUUGUGAAAGUUUGCGGCUCAACCGUAAAAUUGCAAUUGAUACUGUCAGCCUUGAGAACAGAUGAGGUAGGCGGAAUUCGUGGUGUAGCGGUGAAAUGCUUAGAGAUCAUGAAGAACUCCGAUUGCGAAGGCAGCCUACUAAUCUGCCACUGACAUUGAUGCACGAAAGUGUGGGUAUCAAACAGGAUUAGAUACCCUAGUAGUC
This 460-nucleotide ribosomal RNA is filed under the name uncultured bacterium. RNAcentral's name for it is "partial 16S ribosomal RNA". It matches the Rfam family "Bacterial small subunit ribosomal RNA", at positions 338 to 795 of the family's 1533-position model. The record is from RNAcentral.